Molecule: ribosomal RNA, 465 nt
Filed under: Pratylenchus loosi
Lineage: Eukaryota; Metazoa; Nematoda; Chromadorea; Rhabditida; Pratylenchidae
Description: SSU rRNA
Rfam family: Eukaryotic small subunit ribosomal RNA
Source: RNAcentral
CAGCCGCGGUAAUUCCAGCUCUCAAAAUGCAUAGAAUUAUUGCUGCGGUUAAAAAGCUCGUAGUUGGAUCUGUGCCAGCAUGCCGGUCCAUCUUCGGAUGCGUACUGGUUCAUUGCCGGCUUUCCUGCAGUUUUGUCCGGCUCUGUGCCCUUCACUGGGCGCGGUUGUUCGGUGCUGCAAGUUUACUUUGAACAAAUCAGAGUGCUCUAAACAGGCGUUUCGCUUGAAUGUUCGUGCAUGGAAUAAUAGAAGAGGAUUUCGGUUCUAUUUUAUUGGUUUUAUAGACUGAGAUAAUGGUUAACAGAGACAAACGGGGGCAUUCGUAUUGCUACGUGAGAGGUGAAAUUCUUGGACCGUAGCAAGACGAACUACAGCGAAAGCAUUUGCCAAGAAUGUCUUCAUUAAUCAAGAACGAAAGUCAGAGGUUCGAAGGCGAUCAGAUACCGCCCUAGUUCUAACCGUAAA